Molecule: ribosomal RNA, 256 nt
Filed under: uncultured eukaryote
Lineage: Eukaryota
Description: partial 18S ribosomal RNA
Rfam family: Eukaryotic small subunit ribosomal RNA (bases 99-256)
Source: RNAcentral
UGAAGCGACCGGGUCGGGCGUUGAUUCGUCUGCACUGGAGUCGGUUUUGGCCAUCCUCUAGGAUAGUGCGUCUGGUAUUAAGUUGUCGGGCGUAUGAUCCUGGUCUUUUACUGCGAAAAAAUUAGAGUGUUUAAAGUAGGUCUUUCUCUUGUAUACAUUAGCAUGGAAUAAUAAGAUAGGACUUUUGGUCUAUUUUGCUGGUUUGCAGACCGAAGUAAUGAUUAAUAGGGAUAGAUGGGGGUAUUUAUAUUCCGAU